GAUGAAGAACGUAGCAAAAUGCGAUAAGUAAUGUGAAUUGCAGAAUUCAGUGAAUCAUCGAAUCUUUGAACGCACAUUGCGCCCGCCAGUAUUCUGGCGGGCAUGCCUGUUCGAGCGUCAUUUCAACCCUCAAGCACAGCUUGGUGUUGGGACUCGCGUUAAUUCGCGUUCCUCAAAUUGAUUGGCAGUCACGUCGAGCUUCCAUAGCGUAGUAGUAAAACCCUCGUUACUGGUAAUCGUCGCGGCCACGCCGUUAAACCCCAACUUCUGAAUGUUGACCUCGGAUCAGGUAGGAAUACCCGCUGAACUUAAGCAUAUCAAUAAGCGGAGGA
Molecule: unclassified non-coding RNA, 332 nt
Filed under: soil metagenome
Description: partial contains 5.8S ribosomal RNA, internal transcribed spacer 2, and large subunit ribosomal RNA
Rfam family: 5.8S ribosomal RNA (bases 1-120)
Source: RNAcentral